RNAcentral lists this ribosomal RNA (731 nucleotides) under uncultured Cytophagaceae bacterium. RNAcentral's name for it is "bacterial SSU rRNA". It matches the Rfam family "Bacterial small subunit ribosomal RNA", at positions 94 to 825 of the family's 1533-position model. The record is from RNAcentral. Lineage: Bacteria; Pseudomonadati; Bacteroidota; Cytophagia; Cytophagales; Cytophagaceae.
AGUGGCGCACGGGUGCGUAACGCGUAUGCAACUUACCCUCUACUGGGGAAUAACUCGGGGAAACCCGGGCUAAUACCGCGUAAUAAGUUGGCUGGCCUCAGCUAAUUUUAAAAGCUUCGGCGGUAGGGGCUAGGCAUGCGUGCCAUUAGCUAGAUGGAGAGGUAACGGCUCCCCAUGGCCACGAUGGCUAGGGGUUCUGAGAGGAAGAUCCCCCACACUGGUACUGAGAUACGGACCAGACUCCUACGGGAGGCAGCAGUAAGGAAUAUUGGGCAAUGGACGCAAGUCUGGCCCAGCCAUGCCGCGUGUCGGAAGAAUCCCCUCUGGGGUGUAAACGACUUUUGUCGGGGAAGAAGAUGCUUUUGCGAAAGUAGUUGACGGUACCCGAUGAAUAAGCACCGGCUAACUACGUGCCAGCAGCCGCGGUAAUACGUAGGGUGCAAGCGUUGUCCGGAUUUAUUGGGUUUAAAGGGUGCGUAGGCGGCCGAUUAAGUCGUGGGUGAAAUGCCAACGCUCAACGUUGGAGGUGCCUGCGAUACUGGUUGGCUUGAGUGCAGUUGAGGCAACUGGAAUUGGUGGUGUAGCGGUGAAAUGCAUAGAUACCACCAGGAACACCGAUUGCGAAGGCAGGUCGCUAAGCUGCAACUGACGCUGAGGCACGAAAGCGUGGGGAUCAAACAGGAUUAGAUACCCUGGUAGUCCACGCUGUAAACGAUGAUGACUCGCUGUUG